Molecule: transfer RNA, 84 nt
Filed under: Erysipelothrix sp. HDW6A
Lineage: Bacteria; Bacillati; Bacillota; Erysipelotrichia; Erysipelotrichales; Erysipelotrichaceae
Description: tRNA-OTHER
Rfam family: tRNA
About the family: Transfer RNA (tRNA) molecules are approximately 80 nucleotides in length. Their secondary structure includes four short double-helical elements and three loops (D, anti-codon, and T loops).
Source: RNAcentral
GCACCAGUGGCGGAAUCGGUAGACGCGCACGCUUGAGGGCGUGUGUCGCAAGACGUGUAAGUUCAAAUCUUAUCUGGUGCACCA